Molecule: ribosomal RNA, 301 nt
Filed under: uncultured bacterium
Lineage: Bacteria
Description: partial 16S ribosomal RNA
Rfam family: Bacterial small subunit ribosomal RNA
Source: RNAcentral
CAGCAGCCGCGGUAAUACGAAGGGGGCUAGCGUUGCUCGGAAUGACUGGGCGUAAAGGGCGCGUAGGCGGCUUGCACAGUCAGAUGUGAAAUUCCUGGGCUUAACCUGGGGGCUGCAUUUGAUACGUGUGGGCUAGAAUGUGAAAGAGGGUCGUGGAAUUCCCAGUGUAGAGGUGAAAUUCGUAGAUAUUGGGAAGAACACCGGUGGCGAAGGCGGCGACCUGGUUCAUGAUUGACGCUGAGGCGCGAAAGCGUGGGGAGCAAACAGGAUUAGAUACCCGCGUAGUCCCUGUCUCUUAUAC